GGUUUAUAGAAAGUUUAAUUUAGUUAUUAAAAAUAAUUAUAUCAUUAUAUUGUUUUAUUAUUGUUUAAAGAAAAAAUAAAUUUAAUUAUAGUUAAUUAGUAUUGUAAAAGAAUAUUGAAAUAAAUUGAAAAAUUAUUGAAAUAAAAGAAAAUUUAAUUUAUUGUAUCUUGUGUAUCAGAGUUUAUCAAAUAAAAAAUAAUAAAUAUUAUUUUUCUCGAUUUUAAAAGAGUUAAAAAAUUAUUAUAUAUAAUGUUAUAAAAUUAUUAUAAAUAAUUUUUUGGAAAUUAAAAGUUAUUCGGUUUUAAAUAUAUCUAGUUUUUUUAUAAAUAAAUUUAAUUUAGUUUUUAUUUAAUAUUGUGUUAAUUAAUAUAAAUAUAAUAUUUAAUGUAUAUUUUAUAUUGUAUUUAUAUAUUAUGAAUUUAAUUUUUUAAUUAUAUAUUGUUAAAAAGUAAUAUUUUAUGGGAUAAGCUAUAAAAUAAAUUAAUAUAAAUUGAUUUAUAAUAUAAUAAUAAAUAAUAUGCUUAGAAAUAGUAAUUGUUAGAAAAUAUUUUAUAAUUUAUUUAUUUAUUAAAAUUAUUUAAUUAAUUUUAAUUUUUUUAUGAAAAUUUUUAUUUUUAUUUUAAAAAUAAAGUAAUAAUGAUAGAAUUAGUAUAUUUUUAUUGUAUAAAUAUUUUUGAAUGAAAAGUUUAUUUAAAAAACUCGGCAAUAUAAUACUCGCUUGUUUAACAAAAACAUGUCUUUUUGAUAUUAUAUAAAAAGUCUAAUCUGCCCUCUGAUUUUUAAUUAAAUGGCCGCAGUAUUUUAACUGUGCAAAGGUAGCAUAAUCAUUAGUUUUUUAAUUGAAAGCUUGUAUGAAUGAUUGGACGUGGUAUUAACUGUUUCAUUUGAAUUUUUAGUAGAAUUUUAUUUUUUAAUAAAAAAGUUAAAAUAAAUUUAAAAGACGAGAAGACCCUAUAAAUCUUAAUAAUUUAUUUAUUAUAGUUAUUUAGAUUAUUUAAAGUAUAAUAUUUGAAGUUAUUUUAUUGGGGUGAUAUUAAAAUUUAAUAAACUUUUAGUUAAAUUAAACAUAAAUUUAUGAUUUUUUGAUCCAUUAUUAAUGAUUAAAAAUUUAAGUUACUUUAGGGAUAACAGCGUAAUUUUUUUAGAGAGUUCAUAUCGAUAAAAAAGAUUGCGACCUCGAUGUUGGAUUAAGAGAUAAAAUUAGGCGUAGUAGUUUAUUUUUUGAGUCUGUUCGACUUUUAAAUUCUUACAUGAUCUGAGUUCAAACCGGCGUGAGCCAGGUUGGUUUCUAUCUUUAAUAAAAUAGAAUAUUUUAGUACGAAAGGACCAAAUAUUAGAAUAAUAAAUUUUGAUAUUGUAUAAAAUUAAUAUUGUA
Molecule: ribosomal RNA, 1375 nt
Filed under: Hybos culiciformis
Lineage: Eukaryota; Metazoa; Arthropoda; Insecta; Diptera; Hybotidae
Description: 16S ribosomal RNA
Rfam family: Archaeal large subunit ribosomal RNA (bases 1124-1283)
Source: RNAcentral